RNAcentral lists this ribosomal RNA (460 nucleotides) under uncultured bacterium. Its description in RNAcentral is "partial 16S ribosomal RNA". It matches the Rfam family "Bacterial small subunit ribosomal RNA", at positions 338 to 795 of the family's 1533-position model. The record is from RNAcentral.
CCUACGGGAGGCUGCAGUGAGGAAUCUUGGUCAAUGGACGAGAGUCUGAACCAGCCAAGUAGCGUGAAGGAUGACUGCCCUAUGGGUUGUAAACUUCUUUUAUAUGGGAAUAAAAUGUUCCACGUGUGGGAUUUUGUAUGUACCAUAUGAAUAAGGAUCGACUAACUCCGUGCCAGCAGCCGCGGUAAUACGGAGGAUCCGAGCGUUAUCCGGAUUUAUUGGGUUUAAAGGGAGCGUAGGUGGAUUGUUAAGUCAGUUGUGAAAGUUUGCGGCUCAACCGUAAAAUUGCAGUUGAAACUGGCAGUCUUGAGUACAGUAGAGGUGGGCGGAAUUCGUGGUGUAGCGGUGAAAUGCUUAGAUAUCACGAAGAACUCCGAUUGCGAAGGCAGUUCACUGGACUGCAACUGACACUGAGGCUCGAAAGUGUGGGUAUCAAACAGGAUUAGAUACCCCUGUAGUC